RNAcentral lists this ribosomal RNA (253 nucleotides) under uncultured bacterium. RNAcentral's name for it is "partial 16S ribosomal RNA". It matches the Rfam family "Bacterial small subunit ribosomal RNA", at positions 524 to 776 of the family's 1533-position model. The record is from RNAcentral.
UACGGAGGGUGCAAGCGUUAUCCGGAUUCACUGGGUUUAAAGGGUGCGUAGGCGGCUUUAUAAGUCAUUGGUGAAAGCUCGCAGCUUAACUGUGAAACUGCCAAUGAAACUGUUUAGCUUGAAUGUGGUUGAAGUGGGCGGAAUACAACAUGUAGCGGUGAAAUGCUUAGAUAUGUUUUAGAACACCGAUUGCGAAGGCAGCUCACUAAGCCAAUAUUGACGCUGAGGCACGAAAGCGUGGGUAGCAAACAGG